RNAcentral lists this long non-coding RNA (618 nucleotides) under Helianthus annuus (common sunflower). Lineage: Eukaryota; Viridiplantae; Streptophyta; Magnoliopsida; Asterales; Asteraceae. The record is from RNAcentral.
AAGAAUUCAAAUCACUCCACUCUCUCUCUCUUGAAGCUCACGGCCAACACCCUCUUUCUUUCCUUCCAAUUUUCGAAAUUUACAAGCAUUUCUUCAAGAUUCAAGUUCAUUCCAAGCUUGUUUCAAGCACUUUUGAAGAUCCAAAGGUGAUUUGGAGGUGUUUCAAGCAAGAACCAAGCUCCAUAUCCUCAUAUUUUGUCAAAAACCCAUCAAAAAUCCAUCAAAAAUCGUGAAGGUAUAAAAUUUAUGUUUAAAUCCUUGACGCGUAGAAAUCAAUCUCUGGGAUUGCGCUAUUUAAAAUACGCACCCAAAGGUACUUGGGUUCGACUUCGGCAAUCAUGGCUUAUCUUGUGGUUGUUGAUGCAUGUUUUGUUACUUAAAAUGUUGGACUGAUUUUUAAAAACUUUCUGGGACGAAUGUAAUAAGAUCCGUGAGGAUCAAAAAAACUUAACUAUGUCGUGGUUGUGUCAUGUUUAAAAACGAAAUGUUUAAAACUUAGGUUUUAAAUAAGAUGAUAUGUCCAACAAUUUAAUGCAUCGAUCAUCAAGAUAUAAAUGGGCACCAGCUUCCGUCACCACUACGUUUUAUAUUCCGCUGCAACGUAUUUUGGGGUGUGAC